This 478-nucleotide ribosomal RNA is filed under the name uncultured bacterium. RNAcentral's name for it is "partial 16S ribosomal RNA". It matches the Rfam family "Bacterial small subunit ribosomal RNA", at positions 28 to 523 of the family's 1533-position model. The record is from RNAcentral.
GAUGAACGCUGGCGGCGUGCUUAACACAUGCAAGUCGAACGGUAAGGCCCUUCGGGGUACACGAGUGGCGAACGGGUGAGUAACACGUGGGUGAUCUGCCCUGCACUUCGGGAUAAGCCUGGGAAACUGGGUCUAAUACCGGAUAGGACCACUGCCUGCAUGGGUGGUGGUGGAAAGCUUUUGCGGUGUGGGAUGGGCCCGCGGCCUAUCAGCUUGUUGGUGGGGUGAUGGCCUACCAAGGCGACGACGGGUAGCCGGCCUGAGAGGGUGACCGGCCACACGGGGACUGGGAUACGGCCCAGACUCCUACGGGAGGCAGCAGUGGGGAAUAUUGCACAAUGGGCGCAAGCCUGAUGCAGCGACGCCGCGUGAGGGAUGACGGCCUUCGGGUUGUAAACCUCUUUCAGCACCGACGAAGCGCAAGUGACGGUAGGUGCAGAAGAAGGACCGGCCAACUACGUGCCAGCCGCCGCGGUAA